CGGGUCCCUGGGUUCGAUCCUCAGCACCACAUAAAAAUAAAGACAAGGUCUCGCCAUUUUGCUGAGGCUGGCCUCGAACUUGUGAUCCUCCUGCCUCAGCCUCCUGAUUCACAGAAAUUACAGGCCUGUGUCACAGCACCGAGCAGAUGAGACCUCCUGCCUCUCAGGCACAGGUCUGGAAGCAGGAGGUUGCUGUCCCGGGACAGUAUGUGCUUGCAGGUCGCUGCUGCCCACCCAGGGCCACCACUCCACUGCUCCAAGGCUCUGCUGCCGCUUCGUGCAGGGCCCUGGGUUUGAUCCUCAGCACCACAUAAAAAUAAAUAAACGAAAUAGAAGUAUUGUAUCCAACUACAAGUAAUAAAUAAAUAAGUAAAAUGCAUUAGCCCACAAGAUACAGUGGACUGUUUCUGUAACCCCAUCGACUCAGGAGGCUGAGGCAGGAGGAUUGCAAGUUGGAGGUCAGCCUCAACCACUUAGGGAAACCUUGUCUCCAAAUAAAACAUUAAAAUAGACAGGGAUGUGGCUCAGUGGUGAAGCACCCCUGCGGUCAAUUUCCAAUAUCAAAAGAAAAGGAAGAUGUGGGGAUGUGACUCAGUGGUAGUGACAAGGGUCUGUGGCGAUGCACUGGCAGCAAGAAGAUGGAAGUGGGGCAGACAAGAACCAAAUUGGGACUUGAGAGUUGACCAAUAGUUUCCAAAACUUAGCAUAAAUUUGGACCAAUAGCAUUGGUACUUUUUCCAAACCCUCAUUAGCAUAAGAUGGGAACAAUACCCCUGACCCCAAGGGCUAUAUAAACCCCACAGGAGGCAGGGGAGACAAAGAAACUGUGUUAUCAUUGUUUUUGUUUGUUUCUUUGUUUUGUUUUGUUUAGAUUCCCCCCCCCCCAGUGAAUAUCAUUAUCUUGGUUUGAGGAUUUCACGGUUUAAAUUCUGGAGAGAAGAACCUUGGGAAGAAAAUAAAUUGAUAUUUAGCUUCUGAGGUCAUCAGCAAGACUUAUGCUCUGCAGAUGCCUGUGACCACACAGACCCCUGACCUGCCAGCAGAAGUCAAAAUCCAGUGUCAUUUCCUAAGUCCUGGACUCAGUAAAACCGUGGAUUCAAUUCUCAGUUACCCACCCCCCCAAAAAAAAGAUUCAACAGUAAGUGCGUGAAAGAGACCUUGAGAAUGAAGUUUUUAGAUGCGACUGGCACACAGGGCCACGUUCUCCAAUUCUGCUGGUGGGUGGGGUCUGCGUGAGGCUUGGAACUGUCGCCUCUGUCAAGGCUACACCAUGUCCUCCUGUGGGGCAGCCCCCAGCCGCUCACCAUCCAUUUCUUCUUUCCUAAUUCUCGUGUGAAUUUGAAGAACGAAAUCCACACUUCAGGAUGAGUGAGUACAAGUUUUGGAAAAAGAAACAGGAUUCGAGGUGUCCUGUGCAAAAGGGUGACAGCAGGUUUUCUCCCAUAGAAUGUUCUAGCAUGGGGCUGCUGGUCUAAACUUAUGCUAUUGAAGGUUUGGAAAAGUAAUAAUGCUCUUGUUAGCCCUGAAUCCCAUUCAGAUUUACCUUACUUCUCUUUUCUCCCUGUUUAGGGGACACGAGGGAUUUAAGUCUAAAUUGCACAUCUCUGGAGGUGUCGGGGUGCUGCGGAUCUAGAGCACUGCAUGGAGUGUAGUUCUCGGAAAAAGGACUAAUAUUGGCCUUAAACUAUGCUAAUUAGGGUUUGAAAAAUGAUCAAUGGGAUUGUUCCAUUUUAUGCUAAUUAGGGUUUGGAGACACGCUAUUGGCCCCAUUUUAUGCUAAUUAGGGCUUGGAAACGCACUAGCGCUAUUGGUCCCAUUUUAUGCUAAUUAGAGCUUAGAAACGCACUAGCGCUAUUGGUCAACUCCCUAGGCUCCACCCUCAUGCAAAUCAAGAAGGGAAAGGUUCAGGUCUUCAGAUAGGGCUGCAGCCUUGCCUGGACCCUAACCUGGCUUCUCAGGGCGACUGGUUGGCUCACUACUCAGGCCAGCCACCCCUGUAUGGCGGGUUCACGCAGCUUGGCAGCCACAGAGCCAUGUCACCAGGGCCUCAUGCUAGGCAAGCGCUGUCCCACUGAGCCACAUCCCUGGUACCCUACAUACCUUCACUGGUACAGAUGAGCAUCCUGGGGUUCAGAGAGAGACAGAUUUACCUGCCUGCGACCAGAAACAGCACGGGGCAGCUGCAGAGAACUCACUUUGCCCUUCCACACCUGGCCAUUUCUCUACAGGGUCUGACAGUCCCUCCAGGCUAUAGGACCCUGGGUACUUCCCUUCUGAAAUAGUCCCCAAAGUUACCUGGGCCCCAGCUUCUCACAACUACUAAGGUCACCCACUUGCCGUGAGAGCUGUUGUCCCCAAGCAAUUAUUAAUAGGGCCUCCUCCCCUUCCCAGAAGUGUCCUGUGUCUGGGACAAAUUGCUUGGCCACCCGCUUCCUCACCCUCCCCUGGCCAAUGGCUGUGGGGAACCUCUCAAGCUGUGUCUCCUUUCCUUCUUCCAAGUCACCCGAGUCCAGGUCGGAGUUCUUUCACGAUUUUUUGAACGCCCAAGAGAAAAAAAGAAAAAGUGAAAUGCGGUCAGCAGAUAUCUCUACACCGGCCAUGUCCCUUCCCUGGGGGCAGGGCCUGCUGGUUCCUUCUGUCCACUUCAUAGGACAUGCUCCCAGAAAUGGGCUGACAUUGAAUGCAAAGCUGUUUUUUUCCUUCUAGAAGGGAGCUUCUGCUUAAUCCCAGACUCCUCUGAUACAGCAUGAAACCUAUCCGGGUCGCAGUUCAAUGCAUGUCACCUAACGUGCGGACCAAGUAGGUGCUCAACGAAUAACUUAACCACUAGCAUUAACUGACAGGAAAGGAGAUACCGGGCUCUCCCUCCUCUUUGCAAGGCCUGGAGGUGGUAUUCACAGGGUUUCCAAAUUAAGAUUCUAGAACUGCUUCUGUAUCCUUCAAAUGGUCCAAUUUGAGGUUCUGAGGCCACAAUCUAGGCGCAGGGUUUGCGCGAUUUGUGGCUCUCCAGCGACACCUGGUGGCCAUACUUAGAUCUACAUCUUUAAGAAAACCCUAUUUUUGAAGUCUCAAACUAGGAUGGACAUAGAGGAGGGGAAAUUGAAAAGGUGAAACGGUGGCCAUCGGGGGUUCUGGGGAAAGCAACUCGGUGGUAAAAGAGGAAACCUAAGCGGAUGCGAUGGUGCAUGCCUGUCAUCCCAGCAGCUCAGGAGGCUGAGGCAGGAGGAUCACAGUUCAAGGCCAGCCUCAGCAACAGCAAGG
Non-coding RNA from Ictidomys tridecemlineatus (thirteen-lined ground squirrel), 3261 nucleotides. NCBI's taxonomy places the organism in Eukaryota, Metazoa, Chordata, Mammalia, Rodentia, Sciuridae. The record is from RefSeq and is a predicted model, not a curated record.